Molecule: long non-coding RNA, 1386 nt
Filed under: Gopherus agassizii (Agassiz's desert tortoise)
Lineage: Eukaryota; Metazoa; Chordata; Testudines; Testudinidae
Description: lncRNA (ENSGAGG00000008838.1)
Source: RNAcentral
UUUAUUUUUAAUGACUCCUCAGAGAAACAUUACUUCAAGCGGCAGCUGCAGCAGCAUGACUACGCAAGAGGAGGUGUCAUGUAUGCGAAAUACACACUGAACAAUGAGCAGUACCAGACAAUCAGAGCUGAGAAAACCAACCAGGAGAAGAUGCGAAAGCUGUACCAGCUGGUGCCAAGCUGGGAUGAAUGGCAGAAGGACCACCUCUACCAGGCACUGAAGAAAACAAACAGAGAGCUGGUUGAAGAACUGGAGGAGGAACACUUUGUUGACCGGCACCGAGAGAAGCUGAUCCAGCAAGUCUCAGAAGUGGACAGAGUCCUGAAGCUACUUCGGGGGCAUACGCUAACCCCUGAGCAAUACCAGAGCAUCAGCACCGGGAGAUCCAAUGUGGAGAAAAUGCAGAAGCUGUACGAGCUGGUGCCGAGCUGGCGGAGGGAGCGAAAGGACUGGCUCUACCGGGUACUGUGGAUGACAAACAGAGCCCUUCUUGAUGAGUGUGCAGGCUCAGAGGAACAUUUUGUGGAGCGGCAUCGGGAGCAGCUGAUUCAACGCGCCUCUUCAGUUGACACAAUNAGCUAGAAGGUAAAAUCAAAUAGGGGAAAAUAACUUCCCACUGCACCCCAAACCCCUCCCACAAGGGUCCCUACCUAGGGGUUCCCAACUCCCCCGGACCAGACGCCAUUUUGUGGCAAUGGUGUCCCCAUUUUCAGCAAUGGCGUCCGGUCCGGGAGCGUUGGCAACCCGAUCACUAUCUCUGCUCUAGGCUUUUACCCCACUUGCUGGGGCUGAACACUGUUUUUUAAGCAGCUGGGUGGUGCCAGAGCAGGAGCUGCAGCUUUAACUCUUCAAUGACCAAACUAGUGACUCUGAAAAUAUCCUGAGACUUCAUGAAUUCCAGUGAGCCCUUCUCUGCUGCUAUUGUAUUAAGGGGAAGGUGUCUGGAUGCUAUGGCGAUGGGGGGGCAGGAUGAAACUGAUGACAGCAGAGAUCAGCAGAGCCGCCCUGUGUCAGGUUAAGUAGAAUUGGGUGGAGCAGAGAGAAAGUCGCUUCCCGACACCUGCGUGGGGUUCAUAGGGGAAACAGCCACUCUGCUAAGCCCCUCGCUGUUGGCACAGCUGAUGGCAAAGCAACAGGAGAUCAGGUCCGAUCUCCAUCCUCAGCUCUUCCUACUCUGGUUCUGACACCCUUGGGCCUGCUUCAUCUGUGGACUGAGUCCCUGCAAAGAUGGCAGAGGGAGCAGUGGGCUAGAAGGAAGGGAUCUCGGGCAUAGGCUCUGACUCGGUGGGUGCUCUGGGGCUGUUUGGCAGUGUAGCAAGCUCCAGGAGGGAGGGAGGAGGAGCGGGAACGUGGCACGCUCAGGAGAGGAGACAGAGAAGAAAGAGA